RNAcentral lists this non-coding RNA (131 nucleotides) under Streptomyces sp. The record is from RNAcentral. Lineage: Bacteria; Bacillati; Actinomycetota; Actinomycetes; Kitasatosporales; Streptomycetaceae.
CUGUGCUCACCCAACCAAGGCGGCCAGGGCCAGGAAGCCGGUGUGAUUCCGGUGCGGUCCCGCCACUGUGACCUGCCGUGCUCCCCUGGAGUCGGCUGGAAGCCAGAUACUGCCGGGCCGCCUUUCCGUUC